UACGGGGGGAGCAAGCGUUGUUCGGAUUUACUGGGCGUAAAGGGCGCGUAGGCGGCGCAACAAGUCACUUGUGAAAUCUCCGGGCUUAACCCGGAGCGGCCAAGUGAUACUGUCGUGCUAGAGUGCGGAAGGGGCUACUGGAAUUCUCGGUGUAGCGGUGAAAUGCGUAGAUAUCGGGAGGAACACCAAUUGCGAAGGCAGCUCGCUGGGGCGGUACUGACGCUGAGGCGCGAAAGCGUGGGGAGCAAACAGG
Molecule: ribosomal RNA, 253 nt
Filed under: uncultured bacterium
Lineage: Bacteria
Description: partial 16S ribosomal RNA
Rfam family: Bacterial small subunit ribosomal RNA
Source: RNAcentral